Long non-coding RNA from Musca domestica (house fly), 1536 nucleotides. RefSeq lists it as uncharacterized. The transcript has 6 exons. The record is from RefSeq and is a predicted model, not a curated record. NCBI's taxonomy places the organism in Eukaryota, Metazoa, Arthropoda, Insecta, Diptera, Muscidae.
UAUCACUAACAUCGAUGUUUUUCUCGAUAGUCUGGUAAUGUGCAGUACAUUUAGACAUAUGAAAAAUGUUAGAGGGAACUACCUAUAAUCUGUGCACAUUACCAAACUAUCUUUAUUGUUAUGUUGAUUUGUAUUGAAGAACAGGACACCGAAGUUUGGACAAAAACACGAAUUGUAUGGAUGAGAGAACAGCGUUUGAAAAAUGAAAAUUGGAUAAUAAAAAGAAAAUGCGAAAUAUGCAUCGGAUGUUGGAGGGAAAUAUUGUAAUUGUUGAUUUGCAUUGAAGAACAGGACACCGGAAGCUUGGACAGAAACACGAAUUGUAUUGCCAUGGAUGAGAGAACAGCUUUUGAAAAAUGAAAAUUGGAUAAUAAAAAAAAUGCGAAAUAUGCAUCGGAUGUUGGAGGGAAAUAUUGUAAUUGUUGAUUUGCAUUGAAGAACAGGACACCGGAAGCUUGGACAGAAACACGAAUUGUAUUGCCAUGGAUGGGAUAAUAAAAACAAAAUACGAAAUAUGCAUCGGAUUCUCUUCAAAUGUUACGCAUCCUAAUAUUGAUGACACAUGAUCGGUGUGAAAAUGGGAUAUAUGUUCAACCUCCUCCACAACGAGUCAGCAUUUUGAAUAACAGAGCGGUAAUAAAAAGCAUUGAAGAACAAGACACCUGGAGCUUAGACAGAAACACGAAUUGUAUUGCCAUGGAUGGGAUAAUAAAAACAAAAUACGAAAUAUGCAUCGGGUUCUCUUCAAAUGUUACGCAUCCUAAUAUUGAUGACAUAUGAUCGGUGUGAAAAUGGGAUAUAUGUUCAACCUCCUCCACAACGAGUCAGCAUUUUGAAUAACAGAGCGGUGAAAAAAAGCAUUGAAGACCAAGACACCUGGAGCUUAGAAACUUGAAAAUUGCAUAAUGAAAACAAAAUGCGAAAUAUGCAUCGGAUUCUCUUUAUUUUACGCAUCCCAAUAUUGAUGACACAUGAUCGGUGUGAAGAUGGGAUAUAUAUAGAACUAAAUGGUAAUAAAAGGCAAAAUAAGCAUCCGAAUCUCUUCAAAUUUUACACUUCGGAACAACAAGAUGUGGUAUGAAGAUGUUGGAUAUUGGUCUUAUUCUGGUACCUCCGCCACAAAUGAUCACAAUUUCAAAUACUUAUAGCUCUCAUAACAUGCGGAACAAGUCAGUGAUUCUAUGUGAACUUGGUAUAUUAAAAUAUUUCUGUCAACCAGAGAUCAAUAGUGGAAUUUUGUUUUGAGUUACCGACAAAAGUCAGUGAAAUUGAAAUGCUUAUAAUUUCGGUAAUUACGAGUUUUUUUUUCGGAAAGUUAGCGAUGAAAUCAAAGUAGUAUGUAAGACCUACCAAUGUUGUCAACUUUAACUUAUUGUUUAUAUCCAGAUUUUGGAUUUCGAAGUUAAAGAUUUUUGUCGGUAACUCAAAAAAUGAGUUAGAGAAUCCCACUAUUGAUGUGAAUAUAAGAUUUAUCAGCCUUUUGCUAUGUCCGCCACAAAAAAUUUAAAUCUAUAAAUAUAAGCAUAAAAUAAUAAA